ACAGCCAAACCUCCAAUCAGUGCUGUAGUUAGACCUAGCACUGAGUUUCCUUCUCUUGACUCUGGGCCCUUUGCAAGGAUCUGAAGCAAGAGAGCCCUGCCCUCCUCAUCCUCUGAUCCUUCAGAGUCUAUCAUAGAGUUUCUAUCUGAUGAGGAGUAGUUCUUUUAGAUCUAGAAUUUCUUUUGUUGUCUCUUAUCUUUAAUAUUUUGCUCUAUUAUGUAGUGUGAUGAAAAAUGUUGUAUUAUUUGUAAGAUAACUUUUUGUAAAAAUAUAGACUUGAAAUGGAUGCUAUCUAUCAAUGAAUG
This 305-nucleotide long non-coding RNA is filed under the name Elaeis guineensis (African oil palm). Its description in RNAcentral is "long non-coding RNA (EGUI_LNC045714)". The record is from RNAcentral. Lineage: Eukaryota; Viridiplantae; Streptophyta; Magnoliopsida; Arecales; Arecaceae.